CAGCCGCCGCGGUAAUACCGGCGGCCCGAGUGGCGGUCACUAUUAUUGGGCUUAAAGCGUCCGUAGCCGGGUUGGUUAGUCUCCCGGGAAAUCUGGCCGCUUAACGGUCAGAAUUCCGGGAGAUACUGCCAGCCUAGGGACCGGGAGAGGCCGAGGGGAUUCCCGGAGUAGGGGGGAAAUCCUAUAAUCCCGGGAGGACCACCUGUGGCGAAGGCGCUCGGCUGGAACGCGUCCGACGGUGAGGGACGAAGGCCAGGGGAGCAAACCGGAUUAGAUACCCGGGUAGUCCUGGCUGUAAACGAUGCGGACUUUGUGUCGGACAAGCUAUGAGCUUGUCCGGUGCCGGAGGGAAACCGUUAAGUCCGCCGCCUGGGGAGUACGGCCGCAAGGCUGAAACUUAAAGGAAUUGGCGGG
This 414-nucleotide ribosomal RNA is filed under the name uncultured microorganism. RNAcentral describes it as "bacterial SSU rRNA". It matches the Rfam family "Archaeal small subunit ribosomal RNA", at positions 459 to 872 of the family's 1478-position model. The record is from RNAcentral.